AACCAUAGAAACCUGCGGAGUACCUGCGGAAGGAUCAUUACCGAGUCACGCACUCAAAUAACCCUUCUGUGGACCUAAAUCAAAACCGUUGCCUCGGCGGGCGGUCCCCUACCCAAAACCCCACGUGGUGCGGGGUAGGGGACCAGACAGUCCGGCACGCUUAAGGCGUCCGGCGCCAGCCGCUGGCCCUAAACAAUUAAACUCUAGUAACCUUACCUUCUGAGUUUUAAUACAAAAAAA
RNAcentral lists this unclassified non-coding RNA (240 nucleotides) under soil metagenome. RNAcentral describes it as "partial contains 5.8S ribosomal RNA, internal transcribed spacer 2, and large subunit ribosomal RNA". The record is from RNAcentral.